GACGAACGCUGGCGGCGUGCCUAAUACAUGCAAGUAGAACGCACAGUUUAUACCGUAGCUUGCUACACCAUAGACUGUGAGUUGCGAACGGGUGAGUAACGCGUAGGUAACCUGCCUGGUAGCGGGGGAUAACUAUUGGAAACGAUAGCUAAUACCGCUUAAUAUUAAUUAUUGCAUGAUAAUUAAUUGAAAGGUGCAAUUGCACCACUACCAGAUGGACCUGCGUUGUAUUAGCUAGUAGGUGAGGUAACGGCUCACCUAGGCGACGAUACAUAGCCGACCUGAGAGGGUGAUCGGCCACACUGGGACUGAGACACGGCCCAGACUCCUACGGGAGGCAGCAGUAGGGAAUCUUCGGCAAUGGACGAAAGUCUGACCGAGCAACGCCGCGUGAGUGAAGAAGGUUUUCGGAUCGUAAAGCUCUGUUGUAAGAGAAGAACGGGCGUGAGAGUGGAAAGUUCACACUGUGACGGUAUCUUACCAGAAAGGGACGGCUAACUACGUG
Molecule: ribosomal RNA, 505 nt
Filed under: uncultured bacterium
Lineage: Bacteria
Description: partial 16S ribosomal RNA
Rfam family: Bacterial small subunit ribosomal RNA
Source: RNAcentral